CAGGCCACGGCGGGUGUGUGGUGCAGCAGCACGCAGCAACACGAUUAAAAGUGCCCUAGUGACGACGACCAAGUCCUGUCCUUUAGGAGCGUCAACAUCAACACGGACGCCAACCUGGGUGAUCUGGGCUCGCAACUCGGCAACAUCCUGUUGAGGGGAAAAAGUCAGGGAGUGAUUUCCUGAACAAGGUUGAUCAACUCCUCCUUCAGAGAUUCGAUGUCGCUCUCCAAGUGGAGACGCAUUACGUUGGUGUCGUCCAGAAGCUUCCUCAGUCUGGCCACAUCGGCGUCCACCGCCUGACGCAUGGACAUUUCAUACUCCAUCCUAACCAGACAUACUUUAUAUCAGACAUGUUGACCCUUGAUAGAGAGCCUGUUUCAUUUACUUAACAAAGCCGAACACUCACUUGACUCUGAAGUCGUCUGCAGCCAGUCUGGCGUUGUCAAGAGAGAUAUUAAGAUGUGCGUUUCCCUUGAUCAUGUCAAAUAUCUGCAAUACAGGAAGUUGUUCAGUGUGGGAAAUACAAACAUAUACUCAUUGAAACGAUGUGUUUUCCUUUUUUUCCACAGUCAGUUAGAUUGAGUGAU
Molecule: long non-coding RNA, 587 nt
Organism: Gymnodraco acuticeps
Lineage: Eukaryota; Metazoa; Chordata; Actinopteri; Perciformes; Bathydraconidae
Exons: 3
Source: RefSeq, a predicted model, not a curated record